CAACGAUAAAAAGGUCUCGGCAACACCCACGACACGAAAACACCGUAGAAAAGGGGGGGGGGGCACGGGGGGGGCCCCCAAAAACACCCCCCAACACCCCCCCCCCGCCUGGGGACCGGGCUUGGGGGGGGUCGGGGGGGCCCCAAUAGAUACAAUAAUAAUUAUAAUAAUAAUUAAAAAAGAAAAGGAAUGAAAAAAAAUAAUGGGGGGGGGAAUAACCCCGGGGGGGGGGCAAUAACCCGGGGGGGGGGGCAAUAAACCCCGGGGUGGGGGGGGAAGGACAGAAUCCAGCCCGGAUGGGUGGGAAAUGGGGGGGGUGGGGGGCAUGGGAAAUUGCCCCAUGGGGGGGGGAUACCGGGGGGGGGGGUGGGAAUUGCCCCGGGGGGGUAUAACCCCGGGGGGGGGGGCAAAUCUACCCCAGGGGGGGUCAAAUGUGCCCCGGGGGGGAGGGGAAUCGGGCCAUACAAUAUGAUACAUAGAGACUUUGAGCCUAUACACUAUAUACAGCCCCCCCCGGGGCACCCCCACAUCAACCCCCCCAUAAAAGGGGGGGGACCUUUAAUCCCCCCCCCCCCAAAUCCAGCCAAUGGGGGGGGCAAUUGGCAAUAAAUAGCUGGGGGGGGGUGAUGGUUAAUGUGGGGACCCCCCCCUUUAUUUAACUCCCCCCCCAAUAUGUAUAUACAGGCCAGGCUGGUCCCAAGGGGGGGGGGUGGGGGCGCAAAAAGGGGAUCUCAAGGGGGGGGCUCCCCCUUAAAUCACCCAGAUUUGGGGGGAGGAAGGGGGAGGAGGGGGGGACCCCCUAAAGUGGGUGCUGGGGGUGGGUGCCCCCCCCCCAAACAAAGGGGUCCGCAAGGGGGGGCGGGGGGGCGGCUCCUAAAUAGACAUUUAUACAUAUAUAUAUAAAUAAGGGGGGGGCACCCCAAGUUGGGGGGGGACAACCCAUUGUGAGGGGGGGACACCCAUUGUGAGGGGGGACACCCCAAAAUGACAAGUCCUGGGGGGGGGGACACCCUGUUGUUGAUGCUGGGGGGGCCCUGUGGGAUGGAGGUGGCACCAAGGGGGGGUCCCAAUUAAAGGGGGGGUCUCUACUGGAGUUGGGGGGGCCUGGUACUGGCGGGUCCCCCCCAUUCUGGGGGGGUCCCUGUCC
RNAcentral lists this long non-coding RNA (1147 nucleotides) under Strigops habroptila (Kakapo). Its description in RNAcentral is "lncRNA (ENSSHBG00005008733.1)". The record is from RNAcentral. Lineage: Eukaryota; Metazoa; Chordata; Aves; Psittaciformes; Psittacidae.